This 253-nucleotide ribosomal RNA is filed under the name uncultured bacterium. Its description in RNAcentral is "partial 16S ribosomal RNA". It matches the Rfam family "Bacterial small subunit ribosomal RNA", at positions 524 to 776 of the family's 1533-position model. The record is from RNAcentral.
UACGUAGGGUGCAGGCGUUAAUCGGAAUUACUGGGCGUAAAGCGUGCGCAGGCGGUCUCUUAAGACAGGUGUGAAAUCCCCGAGCUUAACUUGGGAACUGCGCUUGUAACUGAGAGGCUAGAGUGUGGCAGAGGGGGGUGGAAUUCCACGUGUAGCAGUGAAAUGCGUAGAGAUGUGGAGGAACACCGAUGGCGAAGGCAGCCCCCUGGGUCAACACUGACGCUCAUGCACGAAAGCGUGGGGAGCAAACAGG